GACGAACGCUGGCGGCGUGCUUAACACAUGCAAGUCGAGCGGUAAGGCCCUUUCGGGGGUACACGAGCGGCGAACGGGUGAGUAACACGUGGGUGACCUGCCCUUAGCUCUGGGAUAAAGCCUGGGAAACUGGGUCUAAUACCGGAUAUGACCUCAUGACGCAUGUUGUGGGGUGGAAAGCCUUGUGCGGCUAGGGAUGGGCCCGCGGCCUAUCAGCUUGUUGGUGGGGUGAUGGCCACCAAGGCGACGACGGGUAGCCGGCCUGAGAGGGCGACCGGCCACACUGGGACUGAGACACGGCCCAGACUCCUACGGGAGGCAGCAGUGGGGAAUCUUGCGCAAUGGGCGAAAGCCUGACGCAGCGACGCCGCGUGAGGGAUGACGGCC
Molecule: ribosomal RNA, 387 nt
Filed under: uncultured bacterium
Lineage: Bacteria
Description: bacterial SSU rRNA
Rfam family: Bacterial small subunit ribosomal RNA
Source: RNAcentral